UCUUAUAUUUUUAAGUACUAACUUCAGCAAUACAUACAGAAAAUAUUAGCAUGACCCCUGCACAAGGAUCACCUGCAAAUUCGUGAAGUGUCCCAUGUUUUU
Molecule: non-coding RNA, 102 nt
Organism: Octopus bimaculoides (California two-spot octopus)
Lineage: Eukaryota; Metazoa; Mollusca; Cephalopoda; Octopoda; Octopodidae
Source: Rfam